GGUGAACGCUGGCGGUAGGCCUAACACAUGCAAGUCGAACGGCAGCACAGUAAGAGCUUGCUCUUACGGGUGGCGAGUGGCGGACGGGUGAGGAAUACAUCGGAAUCUACUUUUUCGUGGGGGAUAACGUAGGGAAACUUACGCUAAUACCGCAUACGACCUACGGGUGAAAGCAGGGGAUCUUCGGACCUUGCGCGAUUGAAUGAGCCGAUGUCGGAUUAGCUAGUUGGCGGGGUAAAGGCCCACCAAGGCGACGAUCCGUAGCUGGUCUGAGAGGAUGAUCAGCCACACUGGAACUGAGACACGGUCCAGACUCCUACGGGAGGCAGCAGUGGGGAAUAUUGGACAAUGGGCGCAAGCCUGAUCCAGCCAUACCGCGUGGGUGAAGAAGGCCUUCGGGUUGUAAAGCCCUUUUGUUGGGAAAGAAAAGCAGCAGGUUAAUACCCCGCUGUUCUGACGGUACCCAAAGAAUAAGCACCGGUUAACUUCGUG
This 492-nucleotide ribosomal RNA is filed under the name uncultured bacterium. RNAcentral describes it as "partial 16S ribosomal RNA". It matches the Rfam family "Bacterial small subunit ribosomal RNA", at positions 28 to 507 of the family's 1533-position model. The record is from RNAcentral.